AAACGGAAGUCUCGUUCUUUUUCGUCCUUUUCUCCGGUUGCCGCUUGCUGUGAGUGUCUCUAGGGUGGUACGGGGGUGAGAAGGGUCCCGGUCCGCGCCAGCGCCCAGCGCGCCUCGUCGCCAUGGUGAGUACGGUCCCUGCCUGGCGCCUUCCCGGAGUGGGCUCGUGGGGCCCCGGGGCGAGGGCGAGAGGGCCUCCCAAGGAUCUCCGGAGGCCGGGAGGAGCUGGUGGACUGGACCAUCACCGGAAGACGUGUCUCUUUGCUGUCUGUUUACCCGCUUCCUUUGUGUUGCAGCCUCGGAAAAUUGAAGAAAUUAAGGACUUCCUGCUCACAGCUCGACGGAAGGAUGCCAAAUGUAAGUAGUUGCUUCGAAGGUUCAAGAUGAGCUGUGGUUACCUUGGCACUGCUCCGGGAGCAUCUUACCCGGAAUGUCAGGCAGGAGACGGGUUAGGCAGUCUGGGUGUGUGCCUGGCCCUCUGGGAGCAGUGGUUUUAUCCUGUUUCCCAUGAGAAAGAUCUGUGUGGGGCACGUUGAGGCCCUGGAAUUUCUAGGACUAUCUUUAGCUAAUCGCGAGUAUCUCAGGGGCUGCCCUGUGUUGUUUUCUUUUGUAUAAUACAGAAAAUUCUCGGAACGGAAUCUCCACUGCGCGAAAGCCUCAAGACACACGUCCCAUAAACACUGAGUUUAGGUUCUCUGCAGUUGUGCAAAAUCUUAAACCCAUUUUGUAAUAAAGUGCUGGAUAUCUGCAUGUAAUGUAUUGAGCACGGCACACUGUGUAGUAUGGUCGUUUACCUCGUGAGUCUGUGGUCGCUGGCCAGUGUCAGAAGGUAUCAUACCUAUCUGGUCCAGAAAAAUAUUUUUAAAAAAAUUUUUUUUUUUUCUUUGAGACAGUCUGGUUCUGUCGCCCAGGCUGGACUGCAGUGGUGCGAUCUUGGCUCACUGCAAUUACCGCCUCCCAGGUUCAAGCGAUCCCCCUGCCUCAGAGUAGCUGGGCGCGCCACCAUGCCUGGCUAAUUUUUGUGUUUUUGGUAGAGACAGAGUUUCACCAUGUUGGCCAGGCUGGUAUCGAACUCCUAACCUCAGAUGAUCGACCUGCCUCCGCCUCCCAAAGCGCUGGGAUUACAGGCAUGAGCCACUGUGCCCCGCCAAGAUCAAAAUUUGAAGCAGGGCUUCUACUGAAUGUGUAUCGCAUUACCACCAUUGUGAAGUCACAAAGUUUAAGUGGGACUGUCAUAGGUCUGUUUCCCAGCUUAUACAUACAGGGGAAAGAAGGUGAUUAAUGAAAAACCUUAAACAGCAGGUUUUCGAUGAAUAGGUGCCAAUCUCUGCUGCCCACUUAAAUUUUUACACCAGGCGUGAGAGGUAGUUGUGUUAUCCCUUUGGGAUACUUGAAGGAGAUUUGGGGGCUUGUGUUUGAUACAAGCUAGGUCUUGAGUUAUGUUGUUACUUUAACCCAGAAUCAUCUUUUUUCAGUUGCAUGAAAGAGAAUCGGGUCACAUGUGGAAGUGGGAUUGCAUGGGACAGGCCUGUUAAGGUGGGCUAAGACACCAGCCAUCUCUAAUGCUCUGUGCCAGCGGUGGUGCCAGAUGGUGGUUGGUGUACAGGGAGAGCCUUUUAGUGAGUUGGGGGUAGGCAGAGAUGGGGGUCAUAUUUGUGUCCCCAUUACCCAAAACAGGCUGUCACCUUUGAGGUAGUGAACACUUGUGGGAAUAAAUAGCAUCUGGUGCGAAUGCUGACUGUGUGCUAGGGUUUUGUGUAAAAAGAUGAGGUUAUCAGGUCAGUUUUAUUUCAGACCAUAUGGGAUCACUGCUUAGUUCAAAGCCCUACUCUACCAGCAGGUAACUUACCCUUCUCAGCAAGUGAAACAUGACACCACCCUUUCUUUGUGUUUUAAAAGGUUGGUGGUCCGGGUGUGUUGGCUCAUGCCUAUAAUUCCAGCACUUUGGGAGGCCAAAGCGGGCAGAUCACUUGAACCAGGAGUUCAAGACCAACCUGGGCGACAUGGCAAAACCCCAUUUCUACUAAAAAUAAAAAAGUUAGCCGGGCAUGGUGGCACACGCCUGCAGUCCCAGCUACUCAGGAGGCUGAGGCGGCAGAAUCAGUUGAACCAAGGAGGCAGAGGUUGCAGUGAGCUGAGAUUGUCUCACUGCACUCCAGCCUGGGUGACAGAGCGAGACUGUCUCACAGAAAUUGGGAACCUUGAUUUUAGAUGAUGUGGCUUUAAAGGUAGCGGUCACGGUCCCCUGGGGAUAGUAAAGUGUCAGUAGCUGUUUGUUGAAAAAACUUUUUAAAAUUAUUGCAUUAAUUUUUAAUGUGUAAUAAGCAUAGCAUAAAAUUUACCAUUUACACUGGGUAUGGUGGUUUCCAUCUGUAAUCCCAGCACUUUGGGAGACUGAGGCAGAUGGAUGAGACUAGCCUGGGCAUCAUAGUGAGACCCUGUCUCUAC
Molecule: small RNA, 2448 nt
Filed under: Pongo abelii (Sumatran orangutan)
Lineage: Eukaryota; Metazoa; Chordata; Mammalia; Primates; Hominidae
Description: retained intron
Source: RNAcentral